This is a non-coding RNA of Chlorocebus sabaeus (green monkey), 4011 nucleotides long. Lineage: Eukaryota; Metazoa; Chordata; Mammalia; Primates; Cercopithecidae. The record is from RefSeq and is a predicted model, not a curated record.
GUGGAAACAUGGACAUAUUUUUGUUAGAGCUCUAAAUCUAGUGAUACAUCAUUGAUUUUAUCUCUGCCAGGAAAUAAAACCUUCAGCUGCAGCUAAGAAUUUGGAGGUUACUGAAGGAGGUUACUUUUUCAAGAGCAGAAGUAAGGAUUCCACUGAAUUUGCUCACCAAAGAUAAGUCAGCAAAGAAAACUUACUGAAGAAUACAGGUUGUCUACUGUGUUUCUCUUAUUUUUUGGAGGUUAUUUGAUCAUGUUUAUUUGAAAAUUGACCCCUGUAUGACAGUCCAUUCUGUUGAGUUUAUUGUUAAAAGAGCAGGAAUGAUUAAUGACUAUAGUGAAAUUAUGGAUUCCUAUUGUUACUAGACUAAUAUUGUAAGAACCAGCUAAAUCUUAUAAUGUAUGAUACAUUUAUGUGUGGCAUUCUUUGGUGUAGAAAUGAUUGUUUAAAUGCUGAUGCUAUGUAGUUUACCUUCUGCCUAAAUCAACAUCAGUGCUAAAAAUAUGUAUAAGUAAGGUGAAUAUUUUGAAUUUAUUUAAGGCCCUUCUCCAUAAAAGAAGAAUAAUUUAAAUAUUUUUUGUAGAACUAUGAGAAAAGCUGACUAAUUUGCAUAAACUGAGGAGCACAAUUGGAAAUACAGCAAAAUUGUUUAAUUAUUUUUAAGUGAAUGCAAGUUUAUUAAAAAAGUAAAGGAUCUCUAAAAGAAUGGCUACUCCAUAGGCAGAGCAACAAAAAUUACUGAAUUUUUAAGUGAAUAUAAUCAUAUUGCUUUGACUUAUUGUCAUCUAUUUGUAAGAAAUAGCUAUUCCACAAUCUUCUUAAUGUUUAAAUAUUUUGUAAUAGGCAUUAAUAUUAUAUAUUUUUAUAUGUUAUUCAUAUAUAUUAGUAAUAAUAACUAAUAAAUAUAUAUUUCUUAUUAUGUACCCGACAUUGGAGUAAGUAUCGAGCCUGAGGUGAGUAACAUUAUUACCUGAUUUAACAAAUGAGGAAACUAAAGUCCUUAAAAAUGGUGGCUUUUGUUGACAUAUGUUGUUUUGAAUGCUCUCCUUCCUGUUCCCCAUCAUUUGGCAAGAGUUCCUUGGGAAAUGACUCCUCCACUGAAUGCAAUCAAGUUAAAACUGUCAAGCUAUAUAUUUUUCUGCCUUCUCUAAGAAUAAAUGACGGUCAAGUGUUCUUUCUUCCAGGAACAUAAAUCUUAAGCAGACUUACAUAAGAAAGGGAAGUGGUUGAAUCUGAGGUAUUUCCAUGGUGGUCUUUGAGGAAAGCCUUUCAUGAGUUCCCAGUCCAUAUCCUUCAAAGGGUUUCUUGGAUAUGCUUUAUUUAUGCCUAAUUUUCCAGCUUCUCUUUAGUGUUGCAUGCUCUAAUAUUUUAUUCUCUCUCUUGUUUUUUGCUUCACUUAGUUAGAAUUUCUUUCAUCCAAUGAAGAAUUCUAAUGAGAAACAUUAAUCUGUAAUUUUGAAUAUUCCAGAAUAAUCGUGGUAUAAACAUUACAUCCUGCUGUUUCCCUAAUUACUUGAAAUCUGGAUAUUCCAAUUUCGACAACGAGAUCUUAAAAUUGUAAUUCCCAUGUCAUGUUAUACAUAAAGUACCAGGCAAUCACUGUACUUUGUUAGCCUACUUGCCCCCUUUGAAUUAUUAUGUUGGAAAAUGUGGCCACUUUGAGUACAUUACCUUUGAAUCAUCAGUAGGUGGAGAUUAAUUAUGUUCUUCCAACUUAUUGGGCUUUGUGACCUUUACUUAUUUAUUCAUUUAUUUGUUAAAUAUCCUUAAUGAUUUCAACUCUAAAAUUCUGUUCCUGUGACCUGUACUGCAGUCUUUCCCUUUAUAUGCAAAGAUUCUGCAAUCAUUGGAUAUUUUUGCAUUAGAUUUUUAAAUUGAGAUGCAAUUCACAUACCUUUGCAUAAUGUUUAUUACUUUAAAAAUGUACAAUUCAGUGUUUUUAGUAGAGUAUAUUCACAAUGUUCUGCAACCAUCAUAACUAUCUAAUUCCAGAAUAUUUUAAUAACUUAAAAAAAAAAUACCCUAUUCCCAUUGACAGCCACCUUCCAUUCUCUUUUUCCCCCAGCCUCUGGAAAUCAGUAAUUUAUUUUCAAUCCAGUUUCACUGUUUAAAUAUCUUAACAGUAUUCCUUUUUUAUAAGACAAUUGUUCUUUUAUUUCUUCAACUUAUAUUAAAUGCUUAGGCAUUCUCUACUUUUAUCCACUGACAAAAAAAUCAAGACAUGUUUUCCUAAUAGCAAUUGAAAGAGAGAAAAUAACUACAAAACAUUUAAUCCAAUCCCAUAUUAUUUUCAGACUUCCUUAAUUCUCCUUUUAAAAUUAUUAAUUUAUUUCUGAGCUUGAGAAAUUGUAUAACAUUAUGAUUAAAUUUUAUCUGAUUCUAGGCAAAUGAAAAAUGACAACAGAUUGAAAGGAUAUGAAAAGUCAUAUUCAAUAACCUCCCAUAUAGUCAUUUGGGUUUUUUCCAGCUUCCAAUCCCACACUUCCCUGACCUAAAAUAGAUAAGGAAAGUCUCAUCUUUAAUUAAACAACUUGAAGUAAUUUGGAUUUUUUUUGAAUAUACACUAUUUCUCAUGAUCUUUUUAAGGCCACAUCUGAAAUAAAAAUAUUUUAUUGCAAGCUUUGGAUAAAUAUGCAGUUAAGAAGUAUGACAUAAUAUGUCCAUUUACCCAUAUAUACUUAUCAAGUAAUAAUUAUUGUUUUCCCCUGUCUAUUCUACAAAAGAUUUUAAGUAGCUGUGUUUUUAAAUUUAGUAAUUUUUAACUUGAAUCUCCACUGUUCUCAGACAGCAUAUCAGCUCCUGCUUUCCAAACAAACUUCGUAGGUCUUGGGAAGAAGAAAGCCUCAUGACUAAGAACUCUCUCUUGAAUCAGACAGCUUGAAUUCAAAUCCUACCUCUAUUCUUAUUAGUCAUAUGAACACAGGAGAACCAUAUCCAUUCAGCUCACUUUGGACCACCUGUGGAGCCUCAUAACCAGGGAAUAGGGAAUCUCCUGAGGUCCAAAUUUGUGUGCCAGCAGGUCCUUCAGGACAUAUUCCAGAAGAAAGCAUUGUUAUCCUAGGAGAUGAUGGUUCCAUGCGUGUUAUUGCCCCUGAAGACUUUCCAGUGGGUCAAGAUGUGGAGGUAAAAGACGGUGAUAUUGAUGAUUCUGACCCUGUGUACGCCAAGUUUGCUUGACUUCACUUAAUCUGCUGGAAGCUGAUCCUUUUCAUGUCCAUGUUUAAGGAAGUGUUGAAGGUCACAUCACUCAAAGCCAACAUCAGCAGGCAUCCUACCAGGAUAAUCUCUGAAGAGGUCAGAGGUGAGAAUGACACAGGGAAGAGGCAAAUUUUACCAGUCCAGUUCAAGGAAUUUCUCACUCUUUCUUAUGGGGGAACUCUUUUCAAUAGAAAAGGAAAGGGUGCCAGUAAAAAGACAAUAGAAUUCCUUCCAUUUUAUGUAGAUUUAUUUUGUUCAUGAGAAAAAGGAAUAAAACAUUUGUUUUCUCAAUGUUUUAAGGAAGGAUAUAAUGUUUUGUUGAAGGUAGGCCAUUUUUGUGGGUUUACUAGUGCUAUGGACUAAAUUGUGUCCCCUCUCCACGCUUCACAUGUUCAAACCCUAACCCCCAAUGUGAUCGUACUGGUCCUGUAAGGAUGUAAUAAAGGCUAAAUGAAUUCAUAAGGGUUGGACUCUAAUCCAACAGGGCUGGUACCCUUAAAGAAGAGGAAGAUAUACAAGAACUUUCUUUAGGCAGUGUGAGGACACAGUAAGAAAGUGAUCCAUCUGCAGUCAAGGAAGAGAGUCCUCCCCAGAAACCAAACCCUGUUAGAAUUUUGAUCUUGAACUUGCUAGCCUUCAGAACUGUGAGAAAAUGAAUCUCUAAUGUUUAACCCACUUAGUCUAUGUUACUUUAGUAUGGCAGCCUAGAGCCUACUAAGACAACUUGUAAAACAAUGUGUCAACGUGCUUUCUGUUUCAUUUGUAUUGGCCUCCAUUCUUUUGAUAUCUAACAAGAGUUAUAAAUGUUCAUUUGAG